UGGGGAAUCUUGCACAAUGGGGGCAACCCUGAUGCAGCGACGCCGCGUGAGCGAUGAAGCCCUUCGGGGCGUAAAGCUCUUUCGACCGGAACGAUAAUGACGGUACCGGGAGAAGAAGCUGCGGCUAACUACGUGCCAGCAGCCGCGGUAAUACGUAGGCAGCAAGCGUUGUUCGGAGUUACUGGGCGUAAAGAGUGCGUAGGCGGUUUUCUAAGUUCGGUGUGAAAUCUCCCGGCUUAACUGGGAGGGUGCGCCGAAGACUGGGAGGCUGGAGUGUGGGAAAGGCAGGCGGAAGUCCUGGUGUAGCGGUGAAAGGCGUAGAUAUCAGGAGGAACACCGGCGGUGUAGACGGCUUGCUAGACCAUAACUGACGCUGAGGCACGAAAGCGUGGGUAGCAAACA
This 402-nucleotide ribosomal RNA is filed under the name uncultured bacterium. RNAcentral's name for it is "bacterial SSU rRNA". It matches the Rfam family "Bacterial small subunit ribosomal RNA", at positions 355 to 774 of the family's 1533-position model. The record is from RNAcentral.